UCUCGGGGCAAAGAGGCGCCGCUAAAAGCAAAGAGGCGCCGCCAAAAGCCACCACCCACCCCGGCAUUUUUUUCGCGAGAUUCAAUCUGUUCUCCUAUCCUACGACUGCAGCGAUCAGGGCCGCGAGAUUGGGUGUCGCCGACUGGCCGCCCCGUCGGUUCGAGCUCCGAUCCACAACAUCAACCAGCCCCGCGAGCACUCCGCUCUAUUCUCCCCCUGAUUUGUCGCGACCGGCGACGGCGGAUUGAAGGAGGCCGCCCCACCAGCGGAGCUCAGAUCCACCGCAUCAACCCGCGCGUGAGCCUUUCCCCACCGACUACAGCAACCGGGUCACCAGGAUACAAGGAAGGGAUUUGGGGGAGAAAAGCACCGAGGUGAGGUAGACGAAAGAGAGAAGCUCUAGGAAAGUGCCGGUGAUCGCAGUGUCUCAGAGUAUGAACCAGAUGUUGAAGAGGAGGCCCAUUUUGCAGAAGAAGCUUUGAGAGAUGAAGAGGAAGUCCCUCUUGCUAUGUCCAAAGAAAUGCACCUUCCUUUCUAGCAUGGGUUAUGCAUCAAGAUCCGGGAGAUCUGGUACCUCUACUUCAUCAUCACAGAUCUGAGAAGAAAGAAUUGAACAGAAGGAUAGAGAGGCGAGAGAUGCAAGUGACAGGCACCGAGAGGAGUUAGCCGCGAGGCUUGAAGCACAAGUGACAACAUUUGAAGAGAUGUAGAGGAAGGAACAUGGAGAAUUGCAAGCUGUGAAGAAGAGACAUCAGGAGAAGAAUGAAGCCUGGCAAAAGAAGCAACAUGAGAUGGAUAACCUGAUUGGUUUUCUCUUAAAGGCUCAAGCAACUCACCAAGCAACUUAGCAGUCCCAUUCCAAACCUGACGGUGCAUGAAGGCCAUCCUUUUGUGAUGGAAAGAUAGUUACCGAAUCAUAUGUUGUAAUCAUCAGGACAACACAUGUGGUCUUUAGUUAUUUAAAUAUUGCCUUUUUAACUUGUUUAUUGUCGUGUCAAACUCCAGUGUGAGUGUUCCAUUUUAUUGUCACUUCUAUUUAGAGGAUGAUUUGGCUGAGACGAUUGAUUAUAUGAUAA
This is a long non-coding RNA of Triticum dicoccoides, 1076 nucleotides long. RefSeq lists it as uncharacterized. NCBI's taxonomy places the organism in Eukaryota, Viridiplantae, Streptophyta, Magnoliopsida, Poales, Poaceae. The transcript is spliced from 5 exons. The record is from RefSeq and is a predicted model, not a curated record.